This 686-nucleotide long non-coding RNA is filed under the name Dromaius novaehollandiae (emu). Its description in RNAcentral is "lncRNA (ENSDNVG00000010442.1)". The record is from RNAcentral. Lineage: Eukaryota; Metazoa; Chordata; Aves; Casuariiformes; Dromaiidae.
AACUACACAUAAAAAAUAAAGAGCUGGAAAAGAAUUUGGCUCAGUUCCAAGAGAAACUGCAUCUGCAGCAGUUAAUGCAUGACUAUGUCACAAGCAGAGAUGUUCAAGUUCAAACAGAAUCCCACUUAUGGCAUAAGGGUGGACACAGCAAGGAUCUCAAUCUAGAGAGUGAAAGUGUCAGACUACUUCAGAUGUAUAAUAAUCUCCAGAAAUGUUACAUUAAAGAAAUCAAAACAAACAAGGAGCAAAGUGAAACAAUUAAAAAUCUCACUAUUAAAAUUCAUGAGCUAGAGCAUAAUCUUCGAGAGCAGAGACAAAGAAUUGAGCAAUUGGAAUGUAGAAAGGUUUCUAAGAAGGCUAGAGUUGUUUCUGAAAAAAGAAGUCAAACCUCAGAGGGAGAAGUAACAUCUUGCAGGCACAUACAUAAAAAGAAGGAAUCGUGUUGCAGUAAAUACUUAGAGCUAUUGUUGAAGGAGAUUAAGAAGCUGAAGAAAGAAAAUGAAAAGUUGUCUACAGAAAGGAGAGCACUAAGAAAUGAAUUAGCUGGAUUAGACAAGGAUUUUUUUGAAGAGAUAGAAGAUUUAAAGCAUGCUGUACAGGAAUCUGUGAAACUGAAUAAUCAGUAUGAGAAGUGUUUGAAACAAAUAUAUGCAAUUUAUGGACUUCCUUUAACAACACCUUUGUGA